Long non-coding RNA from Calypte anna (Anna's hummingbird), 841 nucleotides. RefSeq lists it as uncharacterized. Lineage: Eukaryota; Metazoa; Chordata; Aves; Apodiformes; Trochilidae. The record is from RefSeq and is a predicted model, not a curated record. The transcript is spliced from 2 exons.
GCCUGGCUGGCAGCUCUCCGGGCUCCACCCCCCUCCUCCAGUAUUACCUAUUUAAUUACUUUCUUCCCAAAGUAAUCUCUCUGUUUACUUUUCUUGCGUAGCGCAAACGCCCGCCCUGCAUCCGCGAUCCCUCUCCUCUGCCGGGUGCCUUCCCCCCAGCCCAUCCGCUGAUGUUUGGUCCCCUCUCGCUAGGCUGGCUGUCACCACCGCCCUUCUGGCGGGCGCCCUUUCACUUACCUUCCAUCUGGGGUGGUUUUCGCUUUGAUUUUGCACCUUCUUUUACAUCGCCAGGCACCGGUGGGCAUCUGUCUCCUCUUCGCCAUCCUGCACGCCUGUCCCUCCCGCCCGGCUGCCCGCAGCGAUCUCCUCCCGUAGCCGUGUUUUUCAUCACUGAGGUCUUGACGUGCCCUUUUCCUCUGCCGCCAGUCCCCGUGUUACCUGAAGCCUGCUCAGGGAGCAGAAUGCGCUCUUCCGAGGCUGUCUGAGUAUUUGUAACCCUGCCCCUCAGGGCAGAGCUCCACAAUUUGAGACCUUCACAGAUCACGAAGCCCUCUUUGCAGGGUCUGCACCUGUAUUGCAUAGCAGAGUGCAGGGAAAGAUUCUUGGGAGAAAACACCUGGCUUUCCCAUCAGUGCCACACGUGCUCAUUGAGGGAUGCAAAGGAGGAGCAGCUGUACUGCUCUGUGGUCCUGCCUCCAUCAACACCACAGUCAAACCAAACAGGCCUUCUGACACCAUCAGAAACACUACUGACCUGGCCAUCUCAUCCUGUAUUUUAAUGCCUUUUAAGCCAAUUCUUCUCUGUAACAUCCUCAAUAAACUCCUCCCUUUGCUCUUGCUU